RNAcentral lists this ribosomal RNA (523 nucleotides) under Colletotrichum acutatum. RNAcentral's name for it is "eukaryotic LSU rRNA". The record is from RNAcentral. Lineage: Eukaryota; Fungi; Ascomycota; Sordariomycetes; Glomerellales; Glomerellaceae.
GAGUUACCGCUCUACAACCCUUUGUGAACAUACCUAACCGUUGCUUCGGCGGGCAGGGGAAGCCUCUCGCGGGCCUCCCCUCCCGGCGCCGGCCCCACCACGGGGACGGGGCGCCCGCCGGAGGAAACCAAACUCUAUUUACACGACGUCUCUUCUGAGUGGCACAAGCAAAUAAUUAAAACUUUUAACAACGGAUCUCUUGGUUCUGGCAUCGAUGAARAACGCAGCGAAAUGCGAUAAGUAAUGUGAAUUGCARAAUUCAGUGAAUCAUCGAAUCUUUGAACGCACAUUGCGCUCGCCAGCAUUCUGGCGAGCAUGCCUGUUCGAGCGUCAUUUCAACCCUCAAGCACCGCUUGGUUUUGGGGCCCCACGGCAGACGUGGGCCCUUAAAGGUAGUGGCGGACCCUCCCGGAGCCUCCUUUGCGUAGUAACUAACGUCUCGCACUGGGAUCCGGAGGGACUCUUGCCGUAAAACCCCCAAAUUCUUUACAGGUUGACCUCGGAUCAGGUAGGAAUACCCGCU